GUCAGUGUGACUCAGUUGAUAAGACUGAUAAUCAAGACUGCAUACAUUAGAGAUGCGUGAGUUCAAAUCUCAUCACUGGCA
Molecule: non-coding RNA, 81 nt
Organism: Blastomyces gilchristii SLH14081
Lineage: Eukaryota; Fungi; Ascomycota; Eurotiomycetes; Onygenales; Ajellomycetaceae
Source: Rfam